GCGGAGCGACCUUUCUGAAGUCCUGGACAACCUUAGCUUCCAGCACCUCCCCAUGCACCUGAGCCUCCUUCACCCCUCCCCCCUUGAGUGUGCUAGAACCCAUUGAUAAAACUCUGCUUGUUUGCUUCCCAGGAACUGUUUGUGGAGACCAUUGCAAAAGAUGCCUACUGCUGUGCUCAACAAGGAAAGAGGAAAACCCUCCAGAGGAGAGAUUUAGAUAAUGCAAUAGAAGCUGUGGAUGAAUUUGCUUUUCUGGAAGGUACUUUGGAUUGAUGGCUGAGCUGGAUAGUUUUGUGAGCCUUCACCUGUAUCCUUCAGUUCACCCCUCUUCACACGCCUCAGCUUUGAAGAAGAGUUUUUGCACUCAUAUACACUCUUCCUGUUCUACCUUCACUUAAGCUGGGAUAAGCAGUGAUCUCAUCUCUUAGCUUUUCACUACAAGGUCUUCCACUACUUCUGUCUGUCUUCCACUUAAGGCCUGGGUGCAGCAGCUGCUGCUUGGGGCAGAGAUGAAGAAAGUGUUCUGUAUAGGUAGCUUAAUGAAUGACGAGGACCAGAAUAAAGGUGUUUGAUCAACUUCA
Galeopterus variegatus (Sunda flying lemur) is the source of this 581-nucleotide long non-coding RNA. RefSeq lists it as uncharacterized. NCBI's taxonomy places the organism in Eukaryota, Metazoa, Chordata, Mammalia, Dermoptera, Cynocephalidae. The record is from RefSeq and is a predicted model, not a curated record. The transcript has 3 exons.